AUUUACACGGUAGUGACACCAUUGGCUUCAGAAAUGCCGAUCACACUGAAACGAUCGGAGAGUUUGACUUACUUUUCUUGAAGCCAGCUGCACGCCAAUUGAUUAACAAUGGACACCAGCAGCUCCGCCCAUGGAACCGCCGCCGCCGCCUCUUCAUCUUCCUCUCGGCGUCCAAACCGCUGGAUGUACGAGGUGUUCUUGAGCUUUAGAGGCGACGACACCCGCAACACCUUCACAGACCACCUCUCCAUUGUGUUACGCAAUGCCGGGAUCAACAAGUUUACAGACUACCAGCUCAAAAGGGGGGAAAUAUACAGAGCGAACUUGACCGAAAAAUCGUACGGUCGAGGAUCGCCGUCGUCGUCGUCUUUUCCAAGAGGUACCCAGAUUUCCGAUGGUGCCUGAGGCCGAGGGAGCUGUCGAAGAUCAUGAGGUGCCGAGAAGAUCAAGAGGGCAUAAUAGUCUAUCCAAUAUUCUACGACGUUGAUCCUUCUAACGUCAGGAAACAGAGUGGUGGUUUUGCGGGCAUUUUGGAAGCAUGAAAGGGAUGAAGAUUCAGAUGAGGUCGAGCAGUGGAGAAAGGAUCUCAAGGCUUCUUCAGAUUUGGGUGGCCAGAAUCUUAAAACCUCGGCGGACGGACGUGAAGGAUUGUCUAUCGAGAAAAUUGUUGGGGACGUCGGGGAACGACUGAAAACAAGAGACUUAAAACAAGUCAAGUGCUCUAGUUGGAAUGGAUUUUAGCGUGCAAAAAUUUAGUACUGAAUACUUAGACGUUGGAGGUUCACCUGACUUUCAAAUAAUUGGAAUUUGGGUUAUGGAAGGUUAGGUAAAACGACGCAUGCAGGAGCUAUUUGUGGCGAAUAUCAUCGUUGUUAUAGUGGUCAAUGUUACCUUGAAAAGGUGAGGAGUAAAAAAGAAAAGUAUGGUUGCUCUGCAAGAACAACUUCUUCGAGAUGUUUUGAAACGGGUGGACAUUAAUGUGAGCAAUGUUGCCAAAGGAACCAAAGAGAUAGAGAAAAGACUUGGAAGCAUGAAGAUGCUUGUCAUCGUUGAUGACAUAGAUGAUGCGGACUAAUUACAUGAAUUGGCGAUAAAACAUGAAUCGACUACGUUUGUUAAGAUUCCGGCCACCCAAAUCUGCAGAAGCCUUAAGAUCCUUUCUCCACUACUCGACCUCAUUUGGAUCUUCAUCCCUUUCGUGCUCCCGAAAUGCUUUUCCAAAAAUACCACUGUUUCCUCACUUGAGAAGGGUCGACGUCAUACAAUAUUGGAAGACUACUUUCCCCUCUUGAUCUUCUUGGCCCCUCAUGAUCUUGGCCAGCUCCUACAGACACCAUCCGGACUCUGUGUACCUCUUUGAGAAGACAGACGACGGUAUUCCUCGAUCCUUUGAUUUCUUGGUCAAGUUCACUAUGUAUGUUUUCCAGUCUUCUGAGCUGGUAGUCUAUGCAUGUGUUGAUUCUGACAUUGCGUAACACAAUUGAGAGGUGGUCUGUGAAGGUAGUGCGUGUCGUCGCCUCUAAAGCUCAGGAACACCUCGUUCUUCCAGCGGUUUGAGCAGCACGGGCAAGACGAAGAGGCUGCGAUGGCGGUUCCAUGGGCGGAACUGAUGGUAUACAUCAAUAAUUGGUACUAGCGUUGGGAGACUAGAGGGAGUGCAACAGGCCGUGCGGCUUGGCUUUCAGAUAGCCAAAGCCAAGUCAAACGUCAUCGCCUAAGUAUUAUAGAGAAACGAAAUGCGUGGAGCGAUAUGAAUAUACAUGUAUAUGGCUUGAGGUCUGCUGUCCCGGAUUUCGUGUCCCGUUUGUGUCUCUUGUUUAAUUUUUUAACACGUGUCUCUUAUUUUAUACCCACAUCUAACACUGUUAAGUUUUAAUAAAACUAAUUAAAAAAUAAAUAAAAACCAAACGGGUUAAUCUGAAGCGUCUAUUCUCAUCGAACAAUGGCAAAUCCAGCACAGAGAGAGCAUUCGGCUUUUGUGCUCGUCCAUGAUCGAUGCAUCUACUAUUUUUCGUAGCCAACAAAUGGCCAACAACUUUCUGAGCUAGGGGCAAUCCUCCACAGUAAAGAACAACAUCUUCUGCGAUGUUGAACUCGUUGCUGUCAACGAUCCCUUCAUCACCACCGACUACAUGGUAAGUAAUUUACACGGAUAUCCGCCCGUGACUGAAAACAGGUUCAGCUGAGUAGAUAGAAGUAUGCAGGGCUGCCAGGGCCUACAAUUCAUUAGUUGUGGGAUAUGUAUAUAUCUCGUCACGUCCCAUGCAGACACAUACCAACAUUUCAGGAUCAGGUGGAUUGAGUCUUAAAAGUUGAAAAUUAGUUUAAAUGACAAAUUGAAAAAUAAAAAAGUAUGUAAGU
Pyrus x bretschneideri (Chinese white pear) is the source of this 2361-nucleotide long non-coding RNA. RefSeq lists it as uncharacterized. The record is from RefSeq and is a predicted model, not a curated record. NCBI's taxonomy places the organism in Eukaryota, Viridiplantae, Streptophyta, Magnoliopsida, Rosales, Rosaceae. The transcript has 3 exons.